Molecule: long non-coding RNA, 1394 nt
Organism: Cornus florida
Lineage: Eukaryota; Viridiplantae; Streptophyta; Magnoliopsida; Cornales; Cornaceae
Exons: 2
Source: RefSeq, a predicted model, not a curated record
AUAGAUAAAAAAAAAAAAAUGUAGCAUUGAUGUUUAAAAAAAAAAAAAGGGCUAAGUAGAAUUUGUAGUAGUGUUUUUAGUUAUUUAUUUCUUUAUUUAUUUUUGAUAAAAAUAAAAAAAUAUAUUAAAAUAAAAUAAAAUUUCAGUAACAUUCCGUCUUGCUAGAGACGUUAAACUUAGCCCAUUUUUAUUUUAUUUUAUUUUGUUGGUUGUAUAUACAUGUUCUUUUCCUUUGUAAAAAAAAAAAAAAAAAAAAACAAAAACAAAAAAAAAUUUAAUUGAUUUAUUUUAGUAUAUAUUUAUUUCUUUUUAGUUUAGUAUAUAUUUUUUUUCUUUUUAGUUUAGAAUAUUUUUCUUUGUGUAAAAAAAGAAAAAAAAAAAAACACUGGGAGAUCAAUCCUAUUCUUGAAAUUAAAAAAAAAAAACAUAUCACAAAAAUUUCAAAAAUAUGUAUCCCCAUUAUGCCCUUCUGCUUAGUUAUGCAUGUUUUCAUCUUUUACAAAGGGCUUGAUAUCAUAUCUCUUUACAUCUUAUUCUAUAUUGUUUUGGAAUGUAUGCUUUACUUAUCCCAUUUGAUAUUUGAUGUGAGUUACUAGUGUGGCUUUUCUAGUAGGUUUUUGCAUCCAAGUUUGGGGGAGACCUCUUUCGUCAUGGAUCAUUGCCGGGCGUCAUUAACUUUUGCCAUCACGGGCAAUAAAGUUAAAAUGAGCUAAGAACGGUCCAAUUAAGCCUUUUUGGAGUUAAGCAAAUAUUUUCAGAAAAUGGCACAAAACGGUCAAUCUCGGGCCUUUGAUGAUGUUCCCAAAGAUGGAGAAGCAAACCAAAUAGUCCGGGGCAAAAAUGGAGUUGAAUAAGGCUUAAAGGAAUUUUCUAACUGUGAGGGAUCGAUCCCCCAGGGUGGGAGAUCAAUCCCCCAGGACUUGGCAACAUUGCAUAUUUUUAUUUUAAUGUUUGGGCUUAUUUUGUAACCUAGUGGGCUUUAUUAGGUUUAUUACUUAAGCCCAGUAAGGCCCAUUGUUUUUAGGGUUAGUAUUUAUUAGUUUAGUGAUUUAUUAUUUGAAGAAUUAAGUUUUGAUUUUUUUUUAAUCUGUAUCGUGAUAUUGUUCUCUCUGAAAGAAAACGAAAGAAAGAAAAAAAGCGAGGGUUUCAAGAAUAUUUUUUACAGAGGCUUUGUCUACAGUUGAAGGAAGAAGAAGAAGGGCCAAAAGAUGGAGAUAGGACUUGUUGACACCUUGAUCAUCUCCUCCAUGAGCUAGUUCUUCACUUAGGGCUUGGAUGAGCCCUAAGUUCAUGUAACCCUAACCUUUGUAUUUCUUUUCUUGGGGAAUUAUUAUGUUGUAAUUAAAUUGUAUGGCCUUGCGAUUUCUUAAUAUAUACAUGCUUGAUUUGAUAAA